AAGGGAGAGAGAGAGAGAGAGAGGUAGAGGGUGUCUGGCUGCGUACAUGUGGUACAGGCAGGGGAUCAGAACGCUCACAGAACAGGCAGCAUAAUUCCAUGUUCUCCCUAAGUCUCAGCCCUGCAGGGAGCGGCGCCUGCAGUCUACUUGGAGAGGGAAAGUAGAAGGUGGAAGGGGUCAAUUCCUAAGUGAGUGGGUCCUCACUUAUCAUGAGGGCAUCUGCUCAUCUCCAGUGACUGCCCGGUGCCUCCUGGUCAGACUCGGCCCCCUCUCUCCUAGAUACUUGCUUUAGCUGAAGAGACACACCUUUCUGCAGCAGAGAAACGCAGCUGACCAGAUUGCAAGCCGGUGCUGGCGGAUGCUCUGCAGCUGCCCUGGGCCCAGGCAGACUGAUUCAGCAGAAGCAUCUGUGCAUGGGAGUCGCAAUCAGGGACCAUGGCAGUGCAGCUGGUGCCGGACUCCGCUCUCAGCCUGCUGAUGGUGAGUGUGCUGGGGAGGAGGUGGGGCCCAGCAGUGCCCACUCCAGCCUUCCCCUGCCUCAGGGACUGCUGCUAACUGCUGCGGCUGCUGCCAUGGCUGCAGACACGGAAAGCACGGCUCGGCUUCAUCCAGCGGGCUCCUGUGAAAGGAUUUCUUGGGUCCGAGGAUUAGCGUGACUAAGCACUCUCAGGGAAAAGCAGCAGUAGAUUUGCCAUUUUAGAAACUUGUUGCUGAAUGCUAUUUCGAGACGCGUGCUUACAAACAGGUGCUCAGGGCGGCUCCAGAUAGAUCUCAAGAUGCCUCCCCUCCGUGCUCAGCAUCCUUUGCUCCCGGUCUUUUGAAUACAAAUUCAGAGAGUUGUGCUUGGAUGUUUGUUUGAUUUCCUUCCAGGGCAGCUGUGGGAUUUAUUUAAAAAAAAAAAUCAUUUUAAUUUUUUUGUCUCCAGACUGAAGGUUAUCUUCCCAGGUUCCUCUAGAGAAGCCCAGGAGGCUCACGGUGGCCCUUGGGACGGUUCAGCUGCCCCAUUAGUAGACACUCCUCUCCCAUCUAUAGUUGGCCAGGAGACAUUGGUAUUUAUAUGUGUGUGAACUGCUGACCUACUUUAAACGCCUGUGAUUUUUUAUGAUGCUAAGGAAGCUGUUGCUCUUAGUGCUUUGAAGCAGGCAAGGACAGCCCCAGCGCCUUGUAAGCCAGUUGGCUUUGGGCUUGACUCUGGGUUCAGUUUGCUUUGCGGUUCUGGCGCCCCCUCCCUCCUCCUCGGCUGCCCAGUAGUUCACAGGCCCUGGCAAUGUUGCCUCCGGAAGAAGGCUGUGUCAGCUUGGCGUGGGAAUGUACCUAACAUUUACUCGGGAGAGUUUAUGAGCAGGGCUUAAGUGCUUCUGCUGUGUGUAUUGAUCUGUGUUUUCUGACUGCGAUGGGAAAGUGCAGCGUGCUGAGGGCUGAUGAGUUUAUUAAGGUGACUUGGAGGAGUGGCUAGAGGGAACUCGCCUCCUGGGUGGAGAGCCACAUCAAAUGAAGAGGGAUGUGCCUCCUCAUGCUCCAUUAGCCAAAAAAUAAAUAAAAAUAAAAAU
Molecule: long non-coding RNA, 1550 nt
Organism: Peromyscus leucopus (white-footed mouse)
Lineage: Eukaryota; Metazoa; Chordata; Mammalia; Rodentia; Cricetidae
Exons: 2
Source: RefSeq, a predicted model, not a curated record